RNAcentral lists this long non-coding RNA (3193 nucleotides) under Solanum tuberosum (potato). RNAcentral's name for it is "long non-coding RNA (STUB_LNC010299)". The record is from RNAcentral. Lineage: Eukaryota; Viridiplantae; Streptophyta; Magnoliopsida; Solanales; Solanaceae.
GAGAGCUGCACUUGUGGUGUCUCUACCAGCAAGCAUCAAAUUCAAGAAAGUGUCCCUUAGAAAUGUUUGCAAUGUACCCAAAUCACCAUCUUUCCAUUGAUUGUACAUUUUGAUGUACGCGUUUAAAAAUGUGAAUUCAUCGUCUUUGGCUGUACUUUCAUGCAUCAACUCUUCUUGUUUCCGCGAAAUACAAGGAUAUAAGAACUGAUCAAUAGCUUCCCAUGCUUGAAUAAGCUUCUUUUCUUUACCAAUUCGAAGCCAUUUUUGCAAUUUCCAGCAACUUUCUGGCAAGAAAUGUCUGUACAUAAGUGCAUCCAGAGAGUCGUUGAACGCGUUUUCACAUGGAACAUGAGGUAAGCCAAUAGACAAACUUUUUGGAUCAUGAUCAAGUAACAGUUUGCUUAUAGCAUCAAAAGUGAAUCUCUGGAAAAUAUCUUGUAAAUCAAACAGGGUGCCCUGUUCAGCAAAACCAUCAAGAACUGGUUGGAGCCCGUUUUCGAUAAUGCUCCACAUGUUCCUCUCCAACAAAGUUUGGAACUUGGCAUGAUUCAUUAAGGACAUGGUGGUCUUCCUAUGCAUCUCCCAUAGCUCAUAAUCAACAUUGAACAUCCCAUUUCCUAACAUAUCAAAAAUUUUACGAAACUCAACACCCUUUGGAUAGUUUGAGAAGUUUUUACUGAGGAUAUGAUGGAUAUUUGCAGGAUCACUAGUAAGUAACAUGUUCAAGUUGGCAAGAACAGGACCAUGAAACUCAAAAGUUCCCUUAGUUUCUAUAAGAGCAUCAGUUACAAAUUCAUGGACACGAUGAGCAUUUCGAAUAAGCCCAGGCAACAUUCCAACUAGUGGCCAAUUUGUUGGCACUGAGCUUGAUUUCCACCAUCUAUUACUAAGGUACCACCAUGUAGAAUAAGUAAAACACAUGAUGAUAACCAAAAGAGAAAGAACAUACAUUUCUUGGAAAUGGAGAGAAGGGACUUGUUUAAGUUGAGGAUUAGUUCUUUCAACUUCACAUUUUAUAAGACCAGAAAAGGGAAGGCAUGGGCUCAUAUUUGAGUUAGGCAUUUACAAGAUCACUACCUUUGCCUCCCACAUGAGUUGCUAAACUAAAGUGUCAAUGCCAGCAAGCUAAAUUAGAUAUGGUUCCAUUUUGUCAUAUUAUUACUUGUCUCACCAGAAGUCUGGUGAAAUGGAUUGAAUCACUUAUCAGUCCUACCUUAGUUAGGAAAAAACUUCUAUUAGGAAGUAAUAACAAGGCUAUCUUGGCCAUAUCCAAGAGGUUUACCAAAAAACAGAGAAACCUACAAAAUAAUAUUCUCUCAAAAAAGACACUCACAUUUUAAUACAUAGUAGGGCCCCAGAACGCUAAAAGGUGGGGGGAACAAGAGUUGUCACGAUAGAAAAGAGAAAAAAAGAAAUGACUAUAAGGAACCAACGGCUCUCUCUUCUUAAACAACCUAUAUCCUCCACACUUAAUCAGCAUUUGAUAGAUUAUCCAACCCCGAGCAAUCUAGUAUGCGGGGUCGGUCGUUAGCGGGUAUUGUUUAGUCAUUCAGAUAGUGACUGGCGUUUUUUAGCUAUGCAUUACACACCUCAUGUGGAUCUAGCUUUCAACAGCGUAGAACACAUUAUGGGAGAUGUUGAAGGGGGCUGGUUGCUCCGUUAUAUGCAUGCUAAUGGGGCAAGUAUGUUUUUCAUUGUGGUUCACCUGCAUAUUUUUCGCGGUCUAUAUCAUGCCAGUUAUAGCAGUCCUAGGGAAUUUGUUCGGUGUCUCGGAGUUGUAAAUCUUCCUAUUAAUUGAUUGUGACAGCUUUUAUAGGAUAUGUCCUACCUUGGGGUCAGAUGAGCUUUUGGGGAGCUACAGUAAUCACAAGCUUAGCUAGCGCCAUACCUGUAGUAGGAGAUACCAUAGUGACUUGGCUUUGGGGUGGGUUCUCCGUGGACAAUGAUACAAAUGGGAACUACAUGGGUGCACGAAAAAACUAUAAUGGAUCGAAGACCACUCCUCAAUUGAAGGAAGCUUAUCUCCGCCCAUUCAAAAGCUCUCCUUUAGGUAUUCUGUUUAUUUUUAAUAGUAAACAAACUUCAAAGCAGAUAAAGAAAAAGGGCAUCUCCAUUCAGAUUUUCUAAAUAGUUAGUAAAACAUUGAACAUCACAUAGGCCAUAACCAUGCAAGCAAUGUCAUCCAACAUUUCGAUAUAUAAUACGAAGAGUUUACAUUAAUUGAAAGAAAAACUCAAGACUAUGAUGAUGCGUUUAUAACAUAAUAAAAACUAAUUCAUGAGGACGAUUUUAUUGAUGCACUUGAAUGCAUUUUACUAAGAUGCUUAAUCAUGUUAUAGUAAUUAUAUCGACACUGCUUGCAUAAGAUCCUACAUACGUCAAUAUUGUUCAUGCAUUGGACAUAAGAGGAACCCUUUUGACAAGCCUAACUUUCAGACCAUGUUUCAUUUGAAUGAUAACAGAAGAAUUUGGAAGAAUUAUUUGAUCUUCCCCUAAUUGGAUAUGAUAAUUGUAUAUGAUGGUAGCUGCCACUAUUUUCAUCUGAAUGAAUGCCAUUUCCUUACCUAUACAAGUCCUUGGACCUGCAUUAAAGGCCGGGAAUUUGUAAGAUGGCUCAUGUUUGAUCCCUCCACGUUCAGAAAUCCAUCUCUCUGGCUUGAAUUCUAAGCAAUCUUUUCCCCAUAUGCUUUCCAUUCUCCCCAUCGUAUAGAACGAUAGCACAACUCUCGUGUUUGGACUAACAUGGUGACCGCUCGGAAGAAUGUCAAAUUCAAGUGGAAGUUUAUGCUCAAUUGCAACUGAUGGAAAAAACCUCAAGGUUUCACACAAAGCACCAUGUAGAUAGACUAGUCUUUUUGUUUCUUCUAUGUUGAAACACUUGAGAUUUUCAUCUUCUUUGAGAUGCAAUUGUUGUUGAAUCUCUUCUCUAAUCCUUUUCUCUACCAAGGGAUUUUUAGCUAAGAGCCAGAAAAACCAAGUGAGAGCUGCACUUGUGGUGUCUCUACCAGCAAGCAUCAAAUUCAAGAAAGUGUCCCUUAGAAAUGUUUGCAAUGUACCCAAAUCACCAUCUUUCCAUUGAUUGUACAUUUUGAUGUACUCGUUUAAAAAUGUGAAUUCCUCGUCUUUGAUUGUACUUUUCUGCAUCAACUCUUCUUGUUUCCGCGAAAUGCAAGGAUAUAAGAACUGAUCAAAA